UUGGUUCCCGUUUGCAUUUCAGGCCAAGAGGGAACUCUGGCCUCAGAAGAACGGCCAGGAAAAAACAUGCACCUUGAGCUGGGUUCCAAUCAGCAAAACUUCAGCAAGCGCUUACUUCUGGCCAACUCAGGUCACCCGCAGCCAGGUGCAAAGUAAGGACACCAAAGUCAUAUGACCGGAAGGCUCCCACCCCGAUCUGAACUUGAGUGCCGAUGACUCAAAGCCUCCUGUAAUUUCCUCUAACCUGAUGAGCGCUCCCGCGUGGGUGGUGUCAGAUUGGAUCCAGACGUGAGGAGAAAGGCAAGAAGCAGCUGAAUGAGUGCUGGGUUUUUGGACAAGCUGCAGAAAUACAGGAGGGAGCCCGAAGACCUGAAAGAGCCAGGUAUUUGAUGAAUUUGAAAGAGAGACUUUAUUCCUCUUCAAAAGCCUGUUCUGAGUGCUACUGAACUCUUAGUUCAUCUGUGUGGUAAGUGUGAUUCCUCUUUGACAUAGCGUUGGUUUUCUGUAAGUGCCUUGUGGAUUUUUGACAUGUCCUCACUUCCAGGACACCUGAGCACUGUGCUUCCCGUGGCCCGUCCGUGGCGAUUAUGAAGUAGGGGUGGGGGCACACUCAGGAGUGACGGCUUGAUUGGGAGCUUGUUUUCCUGGGCGUCCCAUCCUUCCUUGUGGUCAGUGUGGUCCAAGGGCCUCACUGGCCACAUUGGACACAGC
This 711-nucleotide long non-coding RNA is filed under the name Rhinopithecus bieti (black snub-nosed monkey). Its description in RNAcentral is "lncRNA (ENSRBIG00000046006.1)". The record is from RNAcentral. Lineage: Eukaryota; Metazoa; Chordata; Mammalia; Primates; Cercopithecidae.